AAUGAACGCUGGCGGCGCGCCUAACACAUGCAAGUCGAACGAGAAACUCCGAGCUUGCUCGGAGGAGUAAAGUGGCGCACGGGUGAGUAACGCGUGGGUAACCUGUCCUUAAAUUCGGGAUAAUCCACCGAAAGAUGGCCUAAUACCGAAUGUCGUCCUGAGAGCUAUGGUUUUCGGGAUGAAAGCUGACCUCUUCAUGAAAGUUGGCGUUUAGGGAGGGGCUCGCGUACCAUUAGCUUGUUGGUAGGGUAAUGGCCUACCAAGGCUACGAUGGUUAGCUGGUCUGAGAAGAUGAUCAGCCACACUGGAACUGGAACACGGUCCAGACUCCUACGGGAGGCAGCAGUGAGGAAUCUUGCGCAAUGGGGGAAACCCUGACGCAGCGACGCCGCGUGAGUGAAGAAGGCCUUCGGGUCGUAAAGCUCUGUCAAGUGGGAAUAAAAUCCAGCGGUGAAUAGCCGUAAGGAUCUGAAGGUACCACUAGAGA
Molecule: ribosomal RNA, 487 nt
Filed under: uncultured delta proteobacterium
Lineage: Bacteria; Deltaproteobacteria
Description: bacterial SSU rRNA
Rfam family: Bacterial small subunit ribosomal RNA
Source: RNAcentral